Molecule: ribosomal RNA, 465 nt
Filed under: bacterium LC2011
Lineage: Bacteria
Description: bacterial SSU rRNA
Rfam family: Bacterial small subunit ribosomal RNA
Source: RNAcentral
GAUAAACGCUGGCGGCGUGCUUAACACAUGCAAGUCGAACGGAGUGAUUCUCCCGAGGAUUGAGGAAGCUUGCUUCUGAUUGACUCAUUUGAAUCACUUAGUGGCGGACGGGUGAGUAACGCGUGGGAAACCUGCCCUAUACUGGGGGAUAGCAGUUGGAAACGACUGAUAAUACCGCAUAAGCGCACAGCUUCGCAUGAAGCAGUGUGAAAAACUCCGGUGGUAUAGGAUGGUCCCGCGUCUGAUUAGCUAGUUGGUGAGGUAACGGCCCACCAAGGCAACGAUCAGUAGCCGGCCUGAGAGGGUGUACGGCCACAUUGGGACUGAGACACGGCCCAAACUCCUACGGGAGGCAGCAGUGGGGAAUAUUGGACAAUGGGGGAAACCCUGAUCCAUGACGCGCGCGUGAACGAAGAAGUAUUUCGGUAUGUAAAGUUCUAUCAGCAGGGAAGAUAAUGACGGUAC